AAUCCAGAAGUUUUAUCAAUUUGCUAGAUGUUCUAAAAUAAGUUAUACUCAUUUGGCUAUCUGCUAUAAGAACUUAAUAGAUAUUUUAGUGUACAGUCUUUAUCUCUCAUAAUGUGGAGAUUUCUGAGGAUAUUUUGUUCUUCCUGAAGAUGUUGGUCCUAUCCUGGCUUGCCAAUAGCAGCAGAAGAAAUUAUCUCUCUUCUAUCUACUGGAAAAGUCAUUUUAGUCUUUUCUCAGUACUCAAUUUCUUUGAUUUCUCUUUAGCAUUUGACAAUUUAAACUACAUUCUCCUUCUGAAAAUUCUUUCUCCUUAGCUUCCACCAUUUAUUCUUCCCGGGUUCUUUUACUACCUGUCUGAUUAAUCCUUUUCUAUUUCCUUUAUGGUUCAUUGUCCUGUCUCUUUCAUUGCAUGUAUAUCCCGCAAGCCUUUGUCUUUGGCUCUUUUCUCAGUACAUUUUAUUCCUUUGACAAUUUCAUCUAUCCACAUAGUUUCAACUUUUCUAUGCAAAUAGAACUUUAUGUGUCCAGUCUUCUUUAUAUCUUUAUUGUAUGUUCCAUCAGAAUUUUAGAAUGAAUGUGUCUAAGAUGGAAAUCAUCUCCUUUUUCCUUCCAACUUCCUAUUUUGAGCUCUAAGUCUCUCUCCUUUUUUCAAGGAAUUUGGUAUCUGUCUCAGUUUUCCUUUCCACUCUAUCCUCAACUUUCAUCAUUAGGGGCUUUAAUAUUCCUCUUGGCAUUCCUUUUAACAUUAUGGCUUUCCAUUCCAUCAAUUUCCAUAACUUCUAAAUGCAUUCUACUCCAGCCGAUCACAACUUAAAUGAUCUACUAUCUCAAAAUAUCUGUCCUCAUAAUCUUGAGCUUUCAAAUUCUAUUUUCUGAGGUGAAGCCAGGAUGGGAAAGUUGUACAGUAAGUUAGAUUUCCAAGCUCCCCAAAAACUUCCUAACAUUUAGAAAAUGUACCAGACUACAUCCUGGUGUGAAAACUCAAGAAAAAGUCGCAAUUAUUUUUCCAACUCAUGUCAGCAUAGAGAUAAAGAGCUAUAUGGAUACUGGGGAGGAGUGGAGGGUACUCAGGAGAGACUAGUCAUUAGGGCAAGAAGAAGUCUCAGACUCAUCAUGGGAUUGCAUAAAGGAUUUCUCUUAUGUUAGGUGCUAACUGGAACUUUCUUACUCUCUACGCAGGUCUGGAUCACCAGGAUAAACUGAGGAGGGGUUCUAUGUCCUGAAGUGACCUUCUGGGGAGGGAAUGAUCUUAUAUUGUAUACCGAGAGAGAAGGAAUUUCAGAAGUAAGUAGCAUCAGCAAGGCUUGGACCUCGGGAGCAGAGCAAGAUCUCAGUGUCAGCUUUUCCCCAAUCUGAAGCCUUCGAAGGAAUAAUCAGGGCAGGAAUUCCAGGCAGAAGGGGACCCAGGGCUUUCUACCUGGUUGAAAGAGGCUGAAUCCAGUAGACCAAAGUCUGAGACCUACCAUGAUGACAGAAGACGAAUGAUGAAACAUGCUAUCCAUAUUCUGAUACAAUUGAAAAAUUCAGGAUCUUCCUUUGUGAUGUAUGCACUACUUUCAGCACCCUAAGGAAUUGACAAAGUUCACUGGACUGUAGGAGAAAUUUUUACUUUGCUAAAAAUAGGAGAAAAAGUGAAAAAGAUUGCAGGAAUUUUAGGAAAGAAAUUUAUAAGCUGGUGAGAAAGCAGAAGAAAUCAACCAGGAUGGUGAACGACCUAAACUCAUGCCAUGUGAAAAUAGCUUGAAGGAAUGGAAUAUAUUUCAGCCUGGAAAAAUGAAGACCUAGAGUAAACACGAUAACCAUCUCCUAAUAUUUUAAGACCUGCCAUAACUUGUUUUGCUUGGCCCCAAAGAGAUGAACAAAGAUUAAAAGAUUGGAUUACUGAGAUUGCCUAUGAAGCUAUGAAUUUUCAUAAAAAAGGGGUGGCAGAAUUUGUUCUUUUUGGUUUCAGGAGCAACAGAGGAGACUUUUCUUCCCUGAUGCACUUUAAGAAGGAAAUACAGCAUAAAGUUAUGUUCAUCUUCAAUAAAUGAAAUAGCACUACCAUUUGCCACAGAAAAAAGAGUAAGCAUACACUCAAAUAAUAAAAAAUGCAACCCAGUAACAUAUUGUUUGGUUUCAUGACAGUGUUAAUUGUCUUUAACAUAUUCAUAUAUGAGUUUUCUCUUUUAGAUUUCAGAUUCUGAAAGUGAGGAUUUUGCCUUAAAAACGUUAAAUCAGUAUUGCACCUGGCAGGGGUAACUAGGUGGUAUAGUAGAUAGAGUGCAAGCCCUGAAGUCAGGAGGAACUGACUUCA
This is a long non-coding RNA of Sarcophilus harrisii (Tasmanian devil), 2296 nucleotides long. RefSeq lists it as uncharacterized. NCBI's taxonomy places the organism in Eukaryota, Metazoa, Chordata, Mammalia, Dasyuromorphia, Dasyuridae. The transcript is spliced from 5 exons. The record is from RefSeq and is a predicted model, not a curated record.